Molecule: ribosomal RNA, 253 nt
Filed under: uncultured bacterium
Lineage: Bacteria
Description: partial 16S ribosomal RNA
Rfam family: Bacterial small subunit ribosomal RNA
Source: RNAcentral
UACGUAGGGUGCGAGCGGUAAUCGGAAUUACUGGGCGUAAAGCGUGCGCAGGCGGUUUUGUAAGUCAGAUGUGAAAUCCCCGGGCUUAACCUGGGAAUGGCAUUUGAGACUGCAAGGCUCGAGUGCGGCAGAGGAGACUGGAAUUCCUGGUGUAGCAGUGAAAUGCGUAGAUAUCAGGAAGAACACCAGUGGCGAAAGCGGCUCUCUGGGGAACACCUGACGCUGAGGCGCGAAAGCGUGGGGAGCGAACCGG